Molecule: ribosomal RNA, 518 nt
Filed under: uncultured bacterium
Lineage: Bacteria
Description: bacterial SSU rRNA
Rfam family: Bacterial small subunit ribosomal RNA
Source: RNAcentral
AGAACUUAGCAGAGAUGCUUUGGUGCCUUCGGGAACUCUGAGACAGGUGCUGCAUGGCUGUCGUCAGCUCGUGUUGUGAAAUGUUGGGUUAAGUCCCGCAACGAGCGCAACCCUUAUCCUUUGUUGCCAGCGGUCCGGCCGGGAACUCAAAGGAGACUGCCAGUGAUAAACUGGAGGAAGGUGGGGAUGACGUCAAGUCAUCAUGGCCCUUACGAGUAGGGCUACACACGUGCUACAAUGGCGCAUACAAAGAGAAGCGACCUCGCGAGAGCAAGCGGACCUCAUAAAAGUGCGUCGUAGUCCGGAUUGGAGUCUGCAACUCGACUCCAUGAAGUCGGAAUCGCUAGUAAUCGUGGAUCAGAAUGCCACGGUGAAUACGUUCCCGGGCCUUGUACACACCGCCCGUCACACCAUGGGAGUGGGUUGCAAAAGAAGUAGGUAGCUUAACCUUCGGGAGGGCGCUUACCACUUUGUGAUUCAUGACUGGGGUGAAGUCGUAACAAGGUAAGCGUAGUGCU